CUUUCACAUAUGGCACUGCUGUGCCACUCAGCAGGACCUGACCCUGAUUUCUGGCCAAAACUCAUCCUUCUCUGCAAAGUGCCCAAGCUAUAUGAUGGGGUCAUCAAGGAGCUUCAUUUGCUGCACAUGGUGAUCACCUGGAAGCAGGAUUGAUGAGAAAUAGUGCUCUGGGAAAAGUUGGUCAAGUGGCAGGAAAAGAAACGGAACUCAUAUCUUCUGACUGCAAACUUUUUCUCUUUAUCUUAAGGCUCCUAGAGAUAAGUAAGUAAAAGUGAUAGUAACUUGCCUCCGGAAGGAGAUGCCAAUUUUGAGUUGAAGAACAAAAAUCUUUGUUAAAUUUCAAAAGUUUUGAUGAAGGGACACCAUUAACUACUUUGCUAUUUUCAUAUGUUGGCUCUUAACUUUAUUUUGAUGAACUUUCAUUUAGUCCUUUUGAAAGGAAAGUAAUUUAGAUUUCCUUUCUGAAGUGCCUAGUUUUAUUUU
This 483-nucleotide long non-coding RNA is filed under the name Macaca mulatta (Rhesus monkey). RNAcentral's name for it is "lncRNA (ENSMMUG00000054261.1)". Lineage: Eukaryota; Metazoa; Chordata; Mammalia; Primates; Cercopithecidae. The record is from RNAcentral.